RNA transcript from Columba livia (rock pigeon), 3413 nucleotides. It is a transcript of the gene named ankyrin repeat domain 22, with no coding region annotated. The record is from RefSeq and is a predicted model, not a curated record. The transcript is spliced from 6 exons. Lineage: Eukaryota; Metazoa; Chordata; Aves; Columbiformes; Columbidae.
AAAACCAAGGUAUGCAUUUCCACUUUGUUUGUUUGUUUGUUUAUUUAUACCCAUUUCAGUAUUUAGCUGAAGAGCAGACCUUGAGAAUUUUGGGAGAAGGGAAUAGCACCAUACUAAUCCAGUCGUGGGACUUGAGUGUUGCUCUUAGCCUUUUGGGAAUAGCAGGUGAAUUGAAAUUUCAUUGGACACAUCCCUACAUCAGUAGGGAAGGCAAAACAAACUUCUGACAGUAGUUUGCAAGCAUUUGUCUACAUCUCGUCUGUAACUAGAGUAUUACAGUUAUGAGUAUUAGAUUCAGGUGAAACAUUACCUGAGAUCACUCUCUGCCUCUUUAGCACUCAUAGGUGCUGAAAUCUGAAUUUUUCUCUUCUUAGUUUUGCCAGAAUCCGAGGGUGAGUUUUCAGGAAAACUGCAUUGCCUUACCUGGUUGUAUUUCCUCAUGUUUUCCUUAGAGCCAUAGUCAUAAGCUUGAAAUUGGUCUGCAUGUGUUACCUGUUGAUAUUGUAACAAGGACAGAUAAAAUGAAAGUGUUAAAGAGACAGUGUGCAGGAGAUGUUUUCUUGCUUGUGAGUGAAACCAAGGCUCAGGCAGUGGUCAGACUUCCAGAGACACUGAGGAUGGAUCAUAGGGUGAGCAGGUUCAUCGCCUUUCCCAUUGCUAACAAUCCCUCCUGUUCCUCAGCCCUCAUCCUUGGUAUGUUCUGUUAUUAAUAUUUCACUUGACUGCUGUAGUUAGCUAAAGUUGGGGUCCCUGUUUGUGAUACAGAGGUAUGUCAGGGCUAUUACUAGUCUAGUCUAUAUGGUACCUCCUCACACAUCUUGCCUUUUGUGUGUCAUUUUUGUCUGGUCUGCUCACAGUAGUAGCAAAAUUUCCAGAGGCUCUGUGUUUGACUAUUGGGAACAGGGUGCGCUUAGUUUAAGACUAAAUUGUUGUUUUCUUGAAUGUGCCUUGUCUAAAAGGAAAAACAAACAAACAAAACCCAACAACAACAACAUAAUAAAAGAUAAAUCUGUCUUACUGAAAAAAGUAUGUAUUUGUUUUUUCCAAACCUUUAGGUAACUGAGGAUAUGCUAGAAAUCUGCUAGUUGGUCUCUGUUUUCUGGCUCUGGGUUCCGGUGAUCUGGAUCCUGGGAAUUUUAGUCAGGGGUGUGUGCAGGAGUAUGCAUAAAUUUAAGUGUUGGCAGAUGUGGUAUAAACAGUGAUGUGUUUCUGAGCUGUUUCUUUCUUGCCGUGGUCUGAUUUGGAGCACAGGCAGAACAAGCUUAGGUCUGAGAAUGGCAUAAGAUGCCAGAAGAAGAGGCAGUUCCCCACAUUGCUGUUGUGCCAGCAGAAGUGCUUGUGUGGUUAACUGGCCCUGGGAGGUGAUCCAGGCUGCAAUUAGCCCUCUUGGAGAAAAGCUUUAACCUGCAUUAUUUCUUCAUCUGGCUUAUCCCCUGCCUGCUCAAGUUUCCACUAUCCUCCUACUGCCUGCUAAUUGCCUGGACCAUGCUCACGUUCCCUUCUGCAGCUCUCAAGGCAAAGAUGUACAUAAGUAAAGCUGAAGCCUGGAAGCCGUUGGAGCCCAACAUGCAGAGCUGCCUGACGUGCCCAGGGGAAAUCUCAGUGCCUGAUGCCAAAGGGACAAUUCAGCCCAUUUGUCAGGCAGCUUACAAUAACGAUUUCAAUGAAGUUCGUCUCCUUUUGGAGCGCAACAGUAAAUAUCUGAACAUCCAGGAUAGCCGUGGUGGAGACACACCCUUAAUUUGUGCGUGUAAAAAGGGAAACAACCAGAUUGUUAGCUAUCUUCUAAAAAGAAAUGCCAACGUCAACCUCAGAAACAAGAAGGACCGGACUUGUCUGCAUUAUGCGGUGAGAAAACAGUUUAGCUUCCUUGACUAUGUGCUCAUCAUAAUCCUCAUGCCAGUUAUGCUUAUUGGAUAUCUUCUCAUGGGACUGAUGAAGAGCAUCAGAAGGAGCAGAGAUUUUUGCUGUGCCUAUAUAGGUGGUGAAGGAACAGAAUUGUACCAGUGCAUCGGUCUGGCAUUUGCAGAAGCCAGACACUCCUCUGUUUGGAAAAACUGCAGCGUUUAGCCAAAACUACUUAGUACUAUACACAGAUAAAUUGUCUUACUGUGUUACUCUUUCCCUUGCAUGAAACAGGUCUCAAAGACUAAACAGAAUGAAAACCUGAUCAAGAUGUUGCUUAGAGCUGGAGCUGAUGUUAAUGCUACAGACUCUUCUGGUUGCACAGCCCUUCACUAUGCUUGUGAAAUGAGAAAUCAGGAAGUCAUUCCCCUGCUGCUUGAAGCUCAUGCUGACACUUCGGUAAAGAAUCAGGAUGGGGAGACUCCUUUAGAUAUAGCCAGAAGAUUGCAGUUCCACAACAUUGAAAGCAUGCUAAGGAGAAAUUUGUAGUCAUUAAGGACUCUUGAACAUGUGGAAAAGUACCUCAUCUGGCAAUUCAUCUUGCACAGGAGCAGGAGUCCUGCAGAGGGUUGAGGGCUGUUACUUCAUAAAGACUUGGUUCAGAUCUGCCCAUUCCUUGCUGCAGACAUCGACUGUUUUGUGUGAGACUUGCCAGUACUCCCAAGGCCACUUGGGCUGAAAGGAAUUAAUUUGAUGUUACUAAGCCAUGAAUGAUUACAACAGUGUUAAAAAUAUUGCCUUUUCUAUUUGCAUCCCCACUUUUAUUACUUGCCUUGUGCAGUGUGUGGAUUUUGAUAGCUUGCUAUAGUAUUUGCAGCCAAUGCAAAAAUAAAACAUCCUUUAGAUUGUGUGUUACUUUUUCCAAAGGGAUACGCUUGACAGCUGCACAGUAUGCCACAGCAGUUUAUACAAAGUCUGAUAACCUUCUUCAUAGUAUUUCUUUUCUUAUGAUGGCAGUGACUGGGAAAAUAGAUGUUUCAGCUUAGCACUUCCUCCUUCCAUACUUGCUACAAGUUUCACACACUUCAAUUUUCACUAUGUUGCUACAAGGGAAGAAUUAUCUUCUCUUUUCCUUUUUUGUCAUGUAAGAAACAGCAAAAGAGAUUCAAUGAGUUGCUGGAGACCACAAAGGCAUGAAGAAAGCCAAAUCCCAUGUGACUUUAAUGCAUUAAGGAAUAACAAUGAAAAUAUGUUUGGCACAGUAGAGAAACAUUUUUUUUUUACUACCUUUCCAAUAUAAACAGUGUCCUAAAGGAAAGAAAAAUCAAUAAAUGUAAUGCUGUGGAUGAGAACCAGAUGUAUCCUUCCCAUGGGACUGGACAGCAUAGCAAGCUUUUCACAGUGGUGUAUGCAACAAGGGAUGUAUAGACCAAAACAACAGUAAAUUCAUGAGUCUUCUCUUGUAUAGGUGAAGGCAGAAAAAAACCUGCAGUGGUAAGCAAUGUAUUAAAGUGGCCUGAUGCUUUGUGAUUUAAUAGUUCAGCAAUAAAGGGGAAUCUCCUUUCAAA